Molecule: long non-coding RNA, 245 nt
Filed under: Setaria viridis
Lineage: Eukaryota; Viridiplantae; Streptophyta; Magnoliopsida; Poales; Poaceae
Description: long non-coding RNA (SVIR_LNC005548)
Source: RNAcentral
CAGAAUGGCUCGGGUGAAACGGAAGGGAUGAAUUCCUUAGUUAUUUGUAACCGAGGUAGAGUUAAAAUAGAGGUGAGAAUAACAGGAAUAUUCUAUAUUUAAAACGCGCGCAGUUAUCACUUGACAGUUUCCAAUUUUUCCAGAAAGAGAAAAGGUUACUGUUGGCGAAUGGUCACGUUGACCAGUGGUUGACCCUUAUACCCAAAUUAGUCGUGUAAUGGCUCGGGGGCUGUGUGCUACGUGGC